Molecule: ribosomal RNA, 492 nt
Filed under: uncultured bacterium
Lineage: Bacteria
Description: partial 16S ribosomal RNA
Rfam family: Bacterial small subunit ribosomal RNA
Source: RNAcentral
AGUGAACGCUGGCGAUAGGCCUAACACAUGCAAGUCGAACGGCAGCACAGUAAGAGCUUGCUCUUACGGGUGGCGAGUGGCGGGCGGGUGAGGAAUACAUCGGAAUCUACUUUUUCGUGGGGGAUAACGUAGGGAAACUUACGCUAAUACCGCAUACGACCUACGGGUGAAAGCAGGGGAUCUUCGGACCUUGCGCGAUUGAAUGAGCCGAUGUCGGAUUAGCUAGUUGGCGGGGUAAAGGCCCACCAAGGCGACGAUCCGUAGCUGGUCUGAAAGGAUGAUCAGCCACACUGGAACUGAGACACGGUCCAGACUCCUACGGGAGGCAGCAGUGGGGAAUAUUGGACAAUGGGCGCAAGCCUGAUCCAGCCAUACCGCGUGGGUGAAGAAGGCCUUCGGGUUGUAAAGCCCUUUUGUUGGGAAAGAAAAGCAGCAGGUUAAUACCCCGCUGUUCUGACGGUACCCAAAGAAUAAGCACCGGCUAACUUCGUG